AACGAACGCUGGCGGUAUGCUUAACACAUGCAAGUCGAACGAACAUUAUAGUUAGUGGCAAACGGGUGAGUAACGCGUGGGAAUCUACCCAUCAGUACGGAACAACGUUUGGAAACAAAUGCUAAUACCGUAUAUUCUCGAGAGAGGAAAGAUUUAUCGCUGAUGGAUGAGCCCGCGUAAGAUUAGGUAGUUGGUGAGGUAAUGGCUCACCAAGCCGACGAUCUUUAGCUGGUCUGAGAGGAUGAUCAGCCACACUGGGACUGAGACACGGCCCAG
This 276-nucleotide ribosomal RNA is filed under the name uncultured bacterium. RNAcentral's name for it is "partial 16S ribosomal RNA". It matches the Rfam family "Bacterial small subunit ribosomal RNA", at positions 29 to 334 of the family's 1533-position model. The record is from RNAcentral.